AUUGAACGCUAGCGGGAUGCUUUACACAUGCAAGUCGAACGGCAGCGCGGACUUCGGUCUGGCGGCGAGUGGCGAACGGGUGAGUAAUGUAUCGGAACGUGCCCAGUAGCGGGGGAUAACUACGCGAAAGCGUAGCUAAUACCGCAUACGCCCUACGGGGGAAAGCAGGGGAUCGUAAGACCUUGCACUAUUGGAGCGGCCGAUAUCGGAUUAGCUAGUUGGUGAGGUAACGGCUCACCAAGGCGACGAUCCGUAGCUGGUUUGAGGGGACGACCAGCCACACUGGGACUGAGACACGGCCCAGACUCCUACGGGAGGCAGCAGUGGGGAAUUUUGGACAAUGGGGGCAACCCUGAUCCAGCCAUCCCGCGUGUGCGAUGAAGGCCUUCGGGUUGUAAAGCACUUUUGGCAGGAAAGAAACGUCGCGGGCUAAUACCCCGUGGAACUGACGGUACCUGCAGAAUAAGCACCGGCUAACUACGUG
This 484-nucleotide ribosomal RNA is filed under the name uncultured bacterium. Its description in RNAcentral is "partial 16S ribosomal RNA". It matches the Rfam family "Bacterial small subunit ribosomal RNA", at positions 30 to 507 of the family's 1533-position model. The record is from RNAcentral.